This 497-nucleotide ribosomal RNA is filed under the name uncultured bacterium. Its description in RNAcentral is "partial 16S ribosomal RNA". It matches the Rfam family "Bacterial small subunit ribosomal RNA", at positions 28 to 507 of the family's 1533-position model. The record is from RNAcentral.
GAUGAACGCUGGCGGCGUGCCUAAUACAUGCAAGUCGAGCGAACAGACGAGGAGCUUGCUCCUCUGACGUUAGCGGCGGACGGGUGAGUAACACGUGGAUAACCUACCUAUAAGACUGGGAUAACUUCGGGAAACCGGAGCUAAUACCGGAUAACAUGUUGAACCGCAUGGUUCAACAGUGAAAGACGGUCUUGCUGUCGCUUAUAGAUGGAUCCGCGCCGCAUUAGCUAGUUGGUAAGGUAACGGCUUACCAAGGCAACGAUGCGUAGCCGACCUGAGAGGGUGAUCGGCCACACUGGAACUUGGACACGGUCCAGACUCCUACGGGAGGCAGCAGUAGGGAAUCUUCCGCAAUGGGCGGAAGCCUGACGGAGCAACGCCGCGUGAGUGAAGAAGGUCUUCGGAUCGUAAAACUCUGUUAUUAGGGAAGAACAAAUGUGUAAGUAACUAUGCACGUCUUGACGGUACCUAAUCAGAAAGCCACGGCUAACUACGUG